UUAUAGUCGUCCAAAAAAUAAAAAUAACUUGUCAAAAUAAAUUCAACAUUUUAGCCGUCAAUCGACCAAUAAUGACCAACUAAUGGGACAGAGUUCGUCUAAAUUAUGGAAAAUUUGAAUUGUCAGAUGUUCGUGAAAUUUGAAAAUUAAAUUUUUUUAAAUCUUUGGAUCUACCAGUAAUAACGUCAAAAAUAUGUUAAAAUGCGGCACAAUGGCACUGAAAAAAUAGGUACAAAUGUAUAAUGGAAAUCGUCAUUUAGUCAUCAACGAAUUAAUCAUCACGAGCAACAGAAUCAGUAUCAUCAUCAUAAUCUUAAUUAAUAUUGUUGUUAUCGUCGUCAUGGUAUUCACAUUUAUCAACAUUAUUUUCUUUACUUGGACCAUCAUCAUUAAUAUCAUUUUUUUUCUUUUAGGUUGACUUAAAAAUUGUCUAAUCAUUUUCGCAUCAGCUUCUUCAUCUUCUUUAAAAUUGUAGUCAUCAUCAUCACCUUGGUUUUGGUGGAUUAAACUUUUCAUUUAGUUUUAAUAAUUUCUCUUCUUGUUUUUGUUUUUUUUCAAAAACUGGAAAAUCUUAUUAUCUUGGUAAAUUGUUAAACUGAACAACACUCAAGCUACUCUCACUUCAACAUUGUAAAAGUGUGUACCUGGGCCCGGGCAAUGAGACCUUUUUCGGAAAACUUAGGUAGUAUAAGCGAAACCUUCGAAGGGUAAACUUAUAUCGGUCUUCACACUCUUAUAUAUAUAUAUUUCCAAUAUUUCAAAUAAACUUAAGUUAAUUGUA
Molecule: long non-coding RNA, 781 nt
Organism: Leptopilina boulardi
Lineage: Eukaryota; Metazoa; Arthropoda; Insecta; Hymenoptera; Figitidae
Exons: 3
Source: RefSeq, a predicted model, not a curated record